Molecule: long non-coding RNA, 572 nt
Organism: Bos taurus (domestic cattle)
Lineage: Eukaryota; Metazoa; Chordata; Mammalia; Artiodactyla; Bovidae
Source: Ensembl
GUAGAAUGCUGUCUUUAAACACAAACUAAUUACUUUAUCUUAUGGGCAACCAAAAAAGAGACGUGGAUGAACCCAGAGAUUGACACACUGAGUGAAGCAAGCGAGAAAGAAAACGUUGCACACUAACACGUGCACAUGGAAUCCAGGGAAACGGCACCAGAUGAACUCACUCACGAAGCAGAAUCUGAGACAGACACAGAGAACCCUCCUACGUUUUUAAGUGCACAGUGCAGCAUUGUUAACUGUGGACACAGUAUUGCACAGCAGAACUUUACUUGCGCUCCUCUCUUAUAUCUGAGACUUUAUACCCUAUGAAUAGCAAUUUUCCAUUUCCCCCUCCCCGAGCAGCUGGCAACCAUCAUUCUACUUUCCACGUCUAUAUAUUUGAUUAUUUUAGAAACCUCAUAAAAGUAGAAUCAUACAAUAUCUGUCCUUUUGUGACCAGCUUACUUUAUUUAGUAUAAUGUCCUCCAGACUUAUCCAUGUUAAUGCAUAUGGCAGAAUUCCCUUCUUUUUCAAGGAUAAAUAGUGUUCCUUCGUAUGUUGGUGUAUGUGUGAUCAUAUGAAUGCAC